AGAGUUUGAUCCUGGCUCAGGACGAACGCUGGCGGCGUGCCUAAUACAUGCAAGUCGAGCGAAUCAAUAAAAGCUUGCUUUUAAAAGAUUAGCGGCGGACGGGUGAGUAACACGUGGGCAACCUGCCUGUAAGACUGGGAUAACUUCGGGAAACCGGAGCUAAUACCGGAUAAUCCAUUUCCUCACAUGAGGAAAUGCUGAAAGAUGGUUUCGGCUAUCACUUACAGAUGGGCCCGCGGCGCAUUAGCUAGUUGGUGAGGUAACGGCUCACCAAGGCGACGAUGCGUAGCCGACCUGAGAGGGUGAUCGGCCACACUGGGACUGAGACACGGCCCAGACUCCUACGGGAGGCAGCAGUAGGGAAUCUUCCGCAAUGGACGAAAGUCUGACGGAGCAACGCCGCGUGAGCGAAGAAGGCCUUCGGGUCGUAAAGCUCUGUUGUUAGGGAAGAACAAGUACGAGAGUAACUGCUCGUACCUUGACGGUACCUAACCAGAAAGCCACGGCUAACUACGUGCCAGCAGCCGCGGUAAUACGUAGGUGGCAAGCGUUGUCCGGAAUUAUUGGGCGUAAAGCGCGCGCAGGCGGUCCCUUAAGUCUGAUGUGAAAGCCCCCGGCUCAACCGGGGAGGGUCAUUGGAAACUGGGGAACUUGAGUGCAGAAGAGAAGAGCGGAAUUCCACGUGUAGCGGUGAAAUGCGUAGAGAUGUGGAGGAACACCAGUGGCGAAGGCGGCUCUUUGGUCUGUAACUGACGCUGAGGCGCGAAAGCGUGGGGAGCAAACAGGAUUAGAUACCCUGGUAGUCCACGCCGUAAACGAUGAGUGCUAAGUGUUAGAGGGUUUCCGCCCUUUAGUGCUGCAGCAAACGCAUUAAGCACUCCGCCUGGGGAGUACGGCCGCAAGGCUGAAACUCAAAGGAAUUGACGGGGGCCCGCACAAGCGGUGGAGCAUGUGGUUUAAUUCGAAGCGACGCGAAGAACCUUACCAGGUCUUGACAUCCUCUGAUCCUCCUAGAGAUAGGACUUUCCCCUUCGGGGGACAGAGUGACAGGUGGUGCAUGGUUGUCGUCAGCUCAUGUCGUGAGAUGUUGGGUUAAGUCCCGCAACGAGCGCAACCCUUGAUCUUAGUUGCCAGCAUUCAGUUGGGCACUCUAAGGUGACUGCCGGUGACAAACCGGAGGAAGGUGGGGAUGACGUCAAAUCAUCAUGCCCCUUAUGACCUGGGCUACACACGUGCUACAAUGGAUGGUACAAAGGGUCGCAAAACCGCGAGGUCGAGCCAAUCCCAUAAAACCAUUCUCAGUUCGGAUUGUAGGCUGCAAUUCGCCUACAUGAAGCUGGAAUCGCUAGUAAUCGCGGAUCAGCAUGCCGCGGUGAAUACGUUCCCGGGCCUUGUACACACCGCCCGUCACACCACGAGAGUUUGUAACACCCGAAGUCGGUGGGGUAACCUUUUGGAGCCAGCCGCCUAAGGUGGGACAGAUGAUUGGGGUGAAGUCGUAACAAGGUAACC
This 1512-nucleotide ribosomal RNA is filed under the name uncultured bacterium. Its description in RNAcentral is "bacterial SSU rRNA". It matches the Rfam family "Bacterial small subunit ribosomal RNA". The record is from RNAcentral.